AGAGUUUGAUCAUGGCUCAGGAUGAACGCUAGCUACAGGCUUAACACAUGCAAGUCGAGGGGCAGCAUGGUCUUAGCUUGCUAAGGCCGAUGGCGACCGGCGCACGGGUGAGUAACACGUAUCCAACCUGCCGUCUACUCUUGGACAGCCUUCUGAAAGGAAGAUUAAUACAAGAUGGCAUCAUGAGUCCGCAUGUUCACAUGAUUAAAGGUAUUCCGGUAGACGAUGGGGAUGCGUUCCAUUAGAUAGUAGGCGGGGUAACGGCCCACCUAGUCUUCGAUGGAUAGGGGUUCUGAGAGGAAGGUCCCCCACAUUGGAACUGAGACACGGUCCAAACUCCUACGGGAGGCAGCAGUGAGGAAUAUUGGUCAAUGGGCGAGAGCCUGAACCAGCCAAGUAGCGUGAAGGAUGACUGCCCUAUGGGUUGUAAACUUCUUUUAUAAAGGAAUAAAGUCGGGUAUGCAUACCCGUUUGCAUGUACUUUAUGAAUAAGGAUCGGCUAACUCCGUGCCAGCAGCCGCGGUAAUACGGAGGAUCCGAGCGUUAUCCGGAUUUAUUGGGUUUAAAGGGAGCGUAGAUGGAUGUUUAAGUCAGUUGUGAAAGUUUGCGGCUCAACCGUAAAAUUGCAGUUGAUACUGGAUAUCUUGAGUGCAGUUGAGGCAGGCGGAAUUCGUGGUGUAGCGGUGAAAUGCUUAGAUAUCACGAAGAACUCCGAUUGCGAAGGCAGCCUGCUAAGCUGCAACUGACAUUGAGGCUCGAAAGUGAGGGUAUCAAACAGGAUUAGAUACCCUGGUAGUCCACACGGUAAACGAUGAAUACUCGCUGUUUGCGAUAUACAGCAAGCGGCCAAGCGAAAGCGUUAAGUAUUCCACCUGGGGAGUACGCCGGCAACGGUGAAACUCAAAGGAAUUGACGGGGGCCCGCACAAGCGGAGGAACAUGUGGUUUAAUUCGAUGAUACGCGAGGAACCUUACCCGGGCUUAAAUUGCAGAUGAAUUACGGUGAAAGCCGUAAGCCGCAAGGCAUCUGUGAAGGUGCUGCAUGGUUGUCGUCAGCUCGUGCCGUGAGGUGUCGGCUUAAGUGCCAUAACGAGCGCAACCCUUGUUGUCAGUUACUAACAGGUCAUGCUGAGGACUCUGACAAGACUGCCAUCGUAAGAUGUGAGGAAGGUGGGGAUGACGUCAAAUCAGCACGGCCCUUACGUCCGGGGCUACACACGUGUUACAAUGGGGGGUACAGAGGGCCGCUACCACGCGAGUGGAUGCCAAUCCCAAAAACCUCUCUCAGUUCGGACUGGAGUCUGCAACCCGACUCCACGAAGCUGGAUUCGCUAGUAAUCGCGCAUCAGCCACGGCGCGGUGAAUACGUUCCCGGGCCUUGUACACACCGCCCGUCAAGCCAUGGGAGCCGGGGGUACCUGAAGUGCGUAACCGCGAGGAGCGCCCUAGGGUAAAACUGGUGACUGGGGCUAAGUCGUAACAAGGUA
This 1486-nucleotide ribosomal RNA is filed under the name metagenome. RNAcentral's name for it is "bacterial SSU rRNA". It matches the Rfam family "Bacterial small subunit ribosomal RNA". The record is from RNAcentral.